UGCAGCCUUGUCAAAUUCAGUGUUUCCUUCUCAGUGGACCGCACUGGCCAAAUUGGCUGCAACAGUAAAGUUUUAGUCCUCAAGCCCCCUGAUCUUGCAUAGUGGACACUGGGGAUAGAAGUGGCUAUAUACAGUU
Molecule: small nucleolar RNA, 136 nt
Organism: Danio rerio (zebrafish)
Lineage: Eukaryota; Metazoa; Chordata; Actinopteri; Cypriniformes; Danionidae
Source: Ensembl